This 72-nucleotide transfer RNA is filed under the name Chthonomonadales bacterium. Its description in RNAcentral is "tRNA-Thr". It matches the Rfam family "tRNA". From Rfam's summary of the family: Transfer RNA (tRNA) molecules are approximately 80 nucleotides in length. Their secondary structure includes four short double-helical elements and three loops (D, anti-codon, and T loops). Further hydrogen bonds mediate the characteristic L-shaped molecular structure. tRNAs have two regions of fundamental functional importance: the anti-codon, which is responsible for specific mRNA codon recognition, and the 3' end, to which the tRNAs corresponding amino acid is attached (by aminoacyl-tRNA synthetases). tRNAs cope with the degeneracy of the genetic code in two manners: having more than one tRNA (with a specific anti-codon) for a particular amino acid; and 'wobble' base-pairing, i.e. permitting non-standard base-pairing at the 3rd anti-codon position. Lineage: Bacteria; Bacillati; Armatimonadota; Chthonomonadia; Chthonomonadales. The record is from RNAcentral.
GCCCACGUAGCUCAGAGGCAGAGCACUUCUUUGGUAAAGAAGAGGUCAUGGGUCCGAUUCCCAUCGUGGGCU